Molecule: ribosomal RNA, 2430 nt
Filed under: Escherichia coli
Lineage: Bacteria; Pseudomonadati; Pseudomonadota; Gammaproteobacteria; Enterobacterales; Enterobacteriaceae
Description: bacterial LSU rRNA
Rfam family: Bacterial large subunit ribosomal RNA
Source: RNAcentral
UGUGAGCUCGAUGAGUAGGGCGGGACACGUGGUAUCCUGUCUGAAUAUGGGGGGACCAUCCUCCAAGGCUAAAUACUCCUGACUGACCGAUAGUGAACCAGUACCGUGAGGGAAAGGCGAAAAGAACCCCGGCGAGGGGAGUGAAAAAGAACCUGAAACCGUGUACGUACAAGCAGUGGGAGCACAGAGCAAUCUGUGUGACUGCGUACCUUUUGUAUAAUGGGUCAGCGACUUAUAUUCUGUAGCAAGGUUAACCGAAUAGGGGAGCCGAAGGGAAACCGAGUCUUAACUGGGCGUUAAGUUGCAGGGUAUAGACCCGAAACCCGGUGAUCUAGCCAUGGGCAGGUUGAAGGUUGGGUAACACUAACUGGAGGACCGAACCGACUAAUGUUGAAAAAUUAGCGGAUGACUUGUGGCUGGGGGUGAAAGGCCAAUCAAACCGGGAGAUAGCUGGUUCUCCCCGAAAGCUAUUUAGGUAGCGCCUCGUGAAUUCAUCUCCGGGGGUAGAGCACUGUUUCGGCAAGGGGGUCAUCCCGACUUACCAACCCGAUGCAAACUGCGAAUACCGGAGAAUGUUAUCACGGGAGACACACGGCGGGUGCUAACGUCCGUCGUGAAGAGGGAAACAACCCAGACCGCCAGCUAAGGUCCCAAAGUCAUGGUUAAGUGGGAAACGAUGUGGGAAGGCCCAGACAGCCAGGAUGUUGGCUUAGAAGCAGCCAUCAUUUAAAGAAAGCGUAAUAGCUCACUGGUCGAGUCGGCCUGCGCGGAAGAUGUAACGGGGCUAAACCAUGCACCGAAGCUGCGGCAGCGACACUGUGUGUUGUUGGGUAGGGGAGCGUUCUGUAAGCCUGUGAAGGUGUGCUGUGAGGCAUGCUGGAGGUAUCAGAAGUGCGAAUGCUGACAUAAGUAACGAUAAAGCGGGUGAAAAGCCCGCUCGCCGGAAGACCAAGGGUUCCUGUCCAACGUUAAUCGGGGCAGGGUGAGUCGACCCCUAAGGCGAGGCCGAAAGGCGUAGUCGAUGGGAAACAGGUUAAUAUUCCUGUACUUGGUGUUACUGCGAAGGGGGGACGGAGAAGGCUAUGUUGGCCGGGCGACGGUUGUCCCGGUUUAAGCGUGUAGGCUGGUUUUCCAGGCAAAUCCGGAAAAUCAAGGCUGAGGCGUGAUGACGAGGCACUACGGUGCUGAAGCAACAAAUGCCCUGCUUCCAGGAAAAGCCUCUAAGCAUCAGGUAACAUCAAAUCGUACCCCAAACCGACACAGGUGGUCAGGUAGAGAAUACCAAGGCGCUUGAGAGAACUCGGGUGAAGGAACUAGGCAAAAUGGUGCCGUAACUUCGGGAGAAGGCACGCUGAUAUGUAGGUGAAGUCCCUCGCGGAUGGAGCUGAAAUCAGUCGAAGAUACCAGCUGGCUGCAACUGUUUAUUAAAAACACAGCACUGUGCAAACACGAAAGUGGACGUAUACGGUGUGACGCCUGCCCGGUGCCGGAAGGUUAAUUGAUGGGGUCAGCGCAAGCGAAGCUCUUGAUCGAAGCCCCGGUAAACGGCGGCCGUAACUAUAACGGUCCUAAGGUAGCGAAAUUCCUUGUCGGGUAAGUUCCGACCUGCACGAAUGGCGUAAUGAUGGCCAGGCUGUCUCCACCCGAGACUCAGUGAAAUUGAACUCGCUGUGAAGAUGCAGUGUACCCGCGGCAAGACGGAAAGACCCCGUGAACCUUUACUAUAGCUUGACACUGAACAUUGAGCCUUGAUGUGUAGGAUAGGUGGGAGGCUUUGAAGUGUGGACGCCAGUCUGCAUGGAGCCGACCUUGAAAUACCACCCUUUAAUGUUUGAUGUUCUAACGUGGACCCGUGAUCCGGGUUGCGGACAGUGUCUGGUGGGUAGUUUGACUGGGGCGGUCUCCUCCUAAAGAGUAACGGAGGAGCACGAAGGUUGGCUAAUCCUGGUCGGACAUCAGGAGGUUAGUGCAAUGGCAUAAGCCAGCUUGACUGCGAGCGUGACGGCGCGAGCAGGUGCGAAAGCAGGUCAUAGUGAUCCGGUGGUUCUGAAUGGAAGGGCCAUCGCUCAACGGAUAAAAGGUACUCCGGGGAUAACAGGCUGAUACCGCCCAAGAGUUCAUAUCGACGGCGGUGUUUGGCACCUCGAUGUCGGCUCAUCACAUCCUGGGGCUGAAGUAGGUCCCAAGGGUAUGGCUGUUCGCCAUUUAAAGUGGUACGCGAGCUGGGUUUAGAACGUCGUGAGACAGUUCGGUCCCUAUCUGCCGUGGGCGCUGGAGAACUGAGGGGGGCUGCUCCUAGUACGAGAGGACCGGAGUGGACGCAUCACUGGUGUUCGGGUUGUCAUGCCAAUGGCACUGCCCGGUAGCUAAAUGCGGAAGAGAUAAGUGCUGAAAGCAUCUAAGCACGAAACUUGCCCCGAGAUGAGUUCU